This 219-nucleotide long non-coding RNA is filed under the name Phaseolus vulgaris (common bean). Its description in RNAcentral is "long non-coding RNA (PVUL_LNC005318)". Lineage: Eukaryota; Viridiplantae; Streptophyta; Magnoliopsida; Fabales; Fabaceae. The record is from RNAcentral.
AAGGGGGCACUUUUUUCCCUAAGGAGGGUUUUUAACGAGGCCACCCAAUGAAAAGAUUAUCAGCAUAUCAAGUGUGCGAGAGUUUUCAAGUUAAAAUCCUCCUCGCCCCAGGUGCGAGUGCAGGUGAUCGGUUAGGCCUUAUUCGCCCUAGGCGCGAGUAUAGGCGCUAACCUAAGUCCUCCUCACCCCAGGCGUGAGUGCAGGCGACUAGGGUUUGAA